Molecule: ribosomal RNA, 465 nt
Filed under: Vreelandella stevensii
Lineage: Bacteria; Pseudomonadati; Pseudomonadota; Gammaproteobacteria; Oceanospirillales; Halomonadaceae
Description: partial 16S ribosomal RNA
Rfam family: Bacterial small subunit ribosomal RNA
Source: RNAcentral
CCUACGGGAGGCUGCAGUGGGGAAUAUUGGACAAUGGGCGAAAGCCCGAUCCAGCCAUGCCGCGUGUGUGAAGAAGGCCUUCGGGUUGUAAAGCACUUUCAGUGGGGAAGAAAGCCUUGGGGCUAAUACCCUCGAGGAAGGACAUCACCCACAGAAGAAGCACCGGCUAACUCCGUGCCAGCAGCCGCGGUAAUACGGAGGGUGCGAGCGUUAAUCGGAAUUACUGGGCGUAAAGCGCGCGUAGGCGGUCUGAUAAGCCGGUUGUGAAAGCCCCGGGCUCAACCUGGGAACGGCAUCCGGAACUGUCAGGCUAGAGUGCAGGAGAGGAAGGUAGAAUUCCCGGUGUAGCGGUGAAAUGCGUAGAGAUCGGGAGGAAUACCAGUGGCGAAGGCGGCCUUCUGGACUGACACUGACGCUGAGGUGCGAAAGCGUGGGUAGCAAACAGGAUUAGAUACCCGAGUAGUC